UUAUUGGGCGUAAGCGCGCGCAGGUGGUUUCUUAAGUCUGAUGUGAAAGCCCACGCCUCAACCGUGGAGGGUCAUUGGAAACUGGGAGACUUGAGUGCAGAAGAGGAAAGUGGAAUUCCAUGUGUAGCGGUGAAAUGCGUAGAGAUAUGGAGGAACACCAGUGGCGAAUGCUUCCCUCUGGUCUGUCACUGACACUGAAGCGCGAAAGCGU
RNAcentral lists this ribosomal RNA (211 nucleotides) under Bacillus cereus. RNAcentral describes it as "partial 16S ribosomal RNA". It matches the Rfam family "Bacterial small subunit ribosomal RNA", at positions 551 to 762 of the family's 1533-position model. The record is from RNAcentral. Lineage: Bacteria; Bacillati; Bacillota; Bacilli; Caryophanales; Bacillaceae.